RNAcentral lists this long non-coding RNA (237 nucleotides) under Drosophila guanche. Lineage: Eukaryota; Metazoa; Arthropoda; Insecta; Diptera; Drosophilidae. The record is from RNAcentral.
AUAAAGACCAUUGAAUAGUUCUUGGGGAUUUCAACCGGCCAGGUACUGUCUGGUCUUCGGUUAACGAGUCAAACAACCUUGUGCCCAUGUCACAACAUGAUUUUAUUGAUGGCUUAUUAGACCUUUCCCUGUCUCAAGUAAACCAUGUAAAAAACUCCUUGGGUCGAUUGCUUGAUCUGUGCUUUGUCUCGGAUCCGACCGUAGCGUUGUUAACACGAGCACUCCCGUUCACUAUAC